GACGAACGCUGGCGGCGUGCCUAAUACAUGCAAGUUGAGCGAUGAAGAUUGGUGCUUGCACCAAUUUGAAGAGCAGCGAACGGGUGAGUAACGCGUGGGGAAUCUGCCUUUGAGCGGGGGACAACAUUUGGAAACGAAUGCUAAUACCGCAUAACAACUUUAAACAUAAGUUUUAAGUUUGAAAGAUGCAAUUGCAUCACUCAAAGAUGAUCCCGCGUUGUAUUAGCUAGUUGGUGAGGUAAAGGCUCACCAAGGCGAUGAUACAUAGCCGACCUGAGAGGGUGAUCGGCCACAUUGGGACUGAGACACGGCCCAAACUCCUACGGGAGGCAGCAGUAGGGAAUCUUCGGCAAUGGACGAAAGUCUGACCGAGCAACGCCGCGUGAGUGAAGAAGGUUUUCGGAUCGUAAAACUCUGUUGGUAGAGAAGAACGUUGGUGAGAGUGGUAAGCUCAUCAAGUGACGGUAACUACCCAGAAAGGGACGGCUAACUACGUG
Molecule: ribosomal RNA, 497 nt
Filed under: uncultured bacterium
Lineage: Bacteria
Description: partial 16S ribosomal RNA
Rfam family: Bacterial small subunit ribosomal RNA
Source: RNAcentral